Molecule: long non-coding RNA, 332 nt
Organism: Cloeon dipterum
Lineage: Eukaryota; Metazoa; Arthropoda; Insecta; Ephemeroptera; Baetidae
Exons: 2
Source: RefSeq, a predicted model, not a curated record
UCAAUAUCAUUAAAAAGCGCAGUGAAAACACAUUAACACCUCAAAGUACCGACUGAGUCGUCAAGAUGAAGCUCGCUCUUUUACCACUUUUCGCUCUCGUUUUCAUCAUUGCCACCACCUUUCAAGAAACAAAAGCACAAGGAACCACCAGGACACCCUCACAGAGUACGACACCUUCCAGUGUUCCUGCCACUACUGUGAUAGGUGCACCUCGUCGCUCAGAAUGUGGACCAGGCCAAACACUUGUCCGAGGCACAUGUAGAGAUAUUCAGGGAAAAUGAUUCGCAAGAAAAAUUACGUCGAUAAAAUCAAUAAACUAAAUACAAAUUAUG